Molecule: long non-coding RNA, 985 nt
Organism: Humulus lupulus (European hop)
Lineage: Eukaryota; Viridiplantae; Streptophyta; Magnoliopsida; Rosales; Cannabaceae
Exons: 2
Source: RefSeq, a predicted model, not a curated record
UCUGCCUUGUUACACAAGUGAGAAACUUAAAGUAAAAAACUAACCUAAGUUGAGAGACUCCGUUUAUAUAUACUGAAUACAGGGCUAAGUAAAAUUAUCCGACUUACUAAUUGGUUAAAAUAAAAAAAUAAAAAAUUGUUAUUUGAUAGCUGACUUUUCACACCGGCCUUAUGCACCAUAUAUAUAUAUAUAUACAAUAUGCCAAUACAAGAAUAAUAUAAUGUAUUUUAGGGUCGAUUAAAAUUUGGAACUUUUUUAUUAAUACAUUUAUAGAAAAGUUUUAGUGUAUUUAUACAGUAUCUAAAAGAUUCAUUCAUAUAUAUAUAACUUCAAGUUUUUUGUGCAAACAUACGGUUUGCAACCAGUCUCUCUACGAUUCAGAAAAAAAAAAACAAAAAAAACUUGUCUCUCUACGACUUUGGAUCUAUCUUCUGUUCCAGCAAUAGCCUUUACCAAAGGAAAUUAUAAUCGACCACAUAUAGCUCUGACGAUAUCCAUUGCUGGUUGCUGGGUUCCCAUCAUGUCAUCGAUGAAAUCUGGUAGCAUUAUAGUUAUAUUCCAACACAGUGGCCAAUAGGAUCUAAACAGAACUACAUUGACUUUGAAUUGAAAUACCAAUGAAAUCAAUGAUAAGACGACGGUCAACGAAGCUCACGAAAGGGGUGUGUAAAUAGGUAUCCUCAUGGGAAAAGGGGCUUGUACGAAUGCAGUUGAGAGUCCCCAAAGUUGAAUAUGGUUGGAAAAUGGCACCACAUAUCAUCAGUUUUUGCCCUAGCACUUUAAGUCAAAGCCACCCAUAUAGCAGCACUAGGAUAAAUUUAAUAAGAACACUUACUAUUGAAGAGGAUUGAGAUUCCAUUUGUAUGUUAAAAGAUUGUAGUACUAUAGAAAAGAAAGCUUAUAUUAUGUUACUACUCACUACAUUGGAAAUUAAAAAAAAAAAAAACAAAUCCCUACUAGAUAUGAUAUUAAUUUUGUUUUUCAU